RNAcentral lists this ribosomal RNA (468 nucleotides) under uncultured bacterium. Its description in RNAcentral is "partial 16S ribosomal RNA". It matches the Rfam family "Bacterial small subunit ribosomal RNA", at positions 29 to 507 of the family's 1533-position model. The record is from RNAcentral.
ACGCACGCUGGCGGCGUGCUUAACACCUGCAAGUCGAACGGAAAGGCCCUGCUUGCAGGGUGCUCGAGUGGCGAACGGGUGAGUAACACGUGGGUGAUCUGCCCCUUACUUUGGGAUAAGCCUGGGAAACUGGGUCUAAUACUGGAUAGGACCAUGCUGUAGGUGGUGUGGUGGAAAGAUUAGUUUCGGUAAGGGAUGAGCUCGCGGCCUAUCAGCUUGUUGGUGGGGUAAUGGCCUACCAAGGCGUCGACGGGUAGCCGGCCUGAGAGGGUGGACGGCCACAUUGGGACUGAGAUACGGCCCAGACUCCUACGGGAGGCAGCAGUGGGGAAUAUUGCACAAUGGGCGCAAGCCUGAUGCAGCGACGCCGCGUGGGGGAUGACGGCCUUCGGGUUGUAAACUCCUUUCAGCCAUGACGAAGCCCUUGUGGUGACGGUAGUGGUAGAAGAAGCACCGGCUAACUACGUG